Molecule: long non-coding RNA, 1716 nt
Organism: Saccostrea cuccullata (small rock oyster)
Lineage: Eukaryota; Metazoa; Mollusca; Bivalvia; Ostreida; Ostreidae
Exons: 4
Source: RefSeq, a predicted model, not a curated record
UGCCAUAGCAAACAACUUAUCUGCUGUUAUAUCCCUGUAUAAAUUUACCAUUGCAACUUUGCUCUGUAAAAAAAAGCUGACAUAUGGCUGUCUCUUUCAAACACACUGUUGACCAAUGACUUUUAAAUGUUUAUUUGCUUGUUAAGAAUUUUAGUUUGCUUGUGCUCCCGAAUUGAAAAUGUUUCUUCCAGGUUUUGUAUAAUGUAAUGUGAUUGUAAAUCAUAUACAUGUACUUUGAAAAUCUUUCUGCUCCUCCAUUUUCAGCAUUUAUUCAUUUAGGCACGCUAAAACUUACUUUUACAAUUUUUUUUGCAGUUGAGCAUCGUUCUCGACAGAGUGCCUUCCUCAUUUUUUUUUAAUUUAUGUUAUUUCAACAUUGUCAUUGAAAUUUAGUCCCGGUAGCAUAGAAAAUACACUUCAUCUAAGAAAUACUCUUGUACUUUUAAGGCACUUACUUCAAAUACAUACAAAUCAUUUUCUGGGUAUUAUGUAAUAUCAUGGGUUUGUACAUAUCUAUCAGUAUCUUUAGAUGAGCACAAGAGAGUUUUAAAAGAGAUGUGUAUUUUCUUCUUUAAAAUGAUUACGAACGAAACUCAAACAAAACAUUUAAAAUGAAAUUCAGGGUGGAAUAGGACGCAAUUCCGAAAUAACAAUUUCGGUGACAUUAAAAUUAAAACUAGUAUUCGAACAAAGAGGGAGAGGGUGGAGGGCAUCUUAUUACCAGACAAGAACGUUUUAAUUCUGAAAGUAAGAAAUAUAACAACAUUGCAAUAUUCAACAUAUCUUUUCUGUGCGUCCUUGUUCAGUAGCGAUAUAUUUUUUUUUCUAAAAUGUGCAUUUCAUUAGUUUACAAAGGCAUCUAAGAUUUAGAUGGUUUUGCGCUGAAUAUUUUACCACAUGGCAUUGUUUCAUUACCAAUCUGUUAUUCACCAGUGUAAUGAAGUAAAUAAACAUAUAUGAAUUGUAUUAUUUUCAAAUUAAAGUUGUAUGAACGAAGUUUAUCAUAAAUUAAAAAAAACUUGUGUGCUGCAUGAACAUUGCGCAUGCUUUAUCAAAAACAUUUAUUCAUGAAUUUUGAGUGACAUUACGGUUUUUCUCGUUGUACACAUAUCGAUAUUUUCAUGAAUGCAUGCGCCCGGUUGAUGAAAUGAAGAAAAAAGUACCGAAAACGCAAUUUUCAUCCGGUGUACCUACAUGUAGUUAGAAUGAGUAAGAAAUUCCGAAAGCGAUUUAAGGCUGGUGAAAGAAAGAGAGAGGGAGAACGUUGGCUAAAGAGAAAGAGGAUCAACUUUGACGGUUACUGUCUAUAAAAGGAAUCCAAAUCCAUAUACCAUUAUCAUUAUCACGACUUUUUCCCAAACUCGUUCAAAAACAAGAAAAGACCGACUCACCUCGGUUACCAUUAAGGCCUACAGUAUUAUUUUGGACUCAUGGACUACGAAUAUCAUACAUCUUUAGCUACCAAAUUAAAGGGAACCUUUUUAGGUGUGCAAGAUGCAACCUACUGAAUGGAUAGGUCUCAACUUCUGACACCCGUAUAUUCGUAUAUCUACCAAUCACUUCUGUUACCUUUGUUGUGUUCAUCAUAGAGAGCUGUACGGUCUUCUAAAAAAAUCCAUUCUUUGAUGACUGAUGGAAAAGCUGCAUCACCCCCGCUGCUUAAGACCCCUUAAUUACGAGCCAUUAAUCAGUUAUCACUGUUAUCAAAGCUCCAAG